Small nuclear RNA from Panthera leo (lion), 119 nucleotides. Its record names the gene U4. It matches the Rfam family "U4 spliceosomal RNA". From Rfam's summary of the family: U4 small nuclear RNA (U4 snRNA) is a component of the major U2-dependent spliceosome. The structure of U4 snRNA from yeast and human has been reported. Lineage: Eukaryota; Metazoa; Chordata; Mammalia; Carnivora; Felidae. The record is from Ensembl.
AGCUUUGCGCAGUGGCAGUAUCGUAGCCAAUGAGGUUUAUCCGAGGCACGAUUAUUGCUAAUUGAAAUAAUUUAACACAGGUGACUAUGCCAGCCAAUAUUUCCAUGUUUUCCUGACAA